Long non-coding RNA from Salvia miltiorrhiza (redroot sage), 417 nucleotides. RefSeq lists it as uncharacterized. NCBI's taxonomy places the organism in Eukaryota, Viridiplantae, Streptophyta, Magnoliopsida, Lamiales, Lamiaceae. The record is from RefSeq and is a predicted model, not a curated record. The transcript is spliced from 3 exons.
AGCUCUCUUAUGUUAAAAUUUUGAAUUUCGUUUUUGCUCUCUCAUUUGCUUGCCCUAAUAAUAGCUCUAUUGAUUCACACGUCAUUUUCUUGCCCUAGUUCAGCGGCUGAGCUCCUCUGACAUUCGUAUUGCGAUUUUGUCUUUGUUCGUUCGUUGAAGGCCUAUCGCGAUUUUGAGUUCUUUGAAGAACUUCUGCCACUAAUUUGCUGAAUUCAGAGGAACAGUUGGUCAUGUUUUUAUCCGUAUUAGCCCAUCACAAGAAAAAUCGUGUCGUGCGCUUUGAUUUUUGGAGAUCGGGCCAAACAAUAUCGCGCUAUAUUCACACUAUUUUGAAAGCCAUCUUGAAGCUACAUGUUCUACUCCUAGUGAAGCCUGAUCCGGUAUCUGGUGACAACAAUGAUCCACGAUGGAAGUGGU